This 529-nucleotide ribosomal RNA is filed under the name uncultured bacterium. RNAcentral describes it as "partial 16S ribosomal RNA". It matches the Rfam family "Bacterial small subunit ribosomal RNA", at positions 28 to 523 of the family's 1533-position model. The record is from RNAcentral.
GACGAACGCUGGCGGCGUGCCUAAUACAUGCAAGUCGAGCGCAGGAAAUCGACGGAACCCUUCGGGGGAGCUUGCUCCUUCCAGUUUAGCGGCGGACGGGUGAGUAACACGUGGGCAACCUGCCCUGCAGAUCGGGAUAACUCCGGGAAACCGGUGCUAAUACCGAAUAGUUUGGCGCCUCUCCUGAGGCGCUACGGAAAGAUGGUUUCGGCUAUCACUAUGGGAUGGGCCCGCGGCGCAUUAGCUAGUUGGUGAGGUAACGGCCCACCAAGGCGACGAUGCGUAGCCGACCUGAGAGGGUGAUCGGCCACACUGGACUGAGACACGGCCCAGACUCCUACGGGAGGCAGCAGUAGGGAAUCUUCCACAAUGGACGAAAGUCUGAUGGAGCAACGCCGCGUGAGUGAAGAAGGAUUUCGGUUCGUAAAACUCUGUUGCAAGGGAAGAACAAGUAGCGUAGUAACUGGCGCUACCUUGACGGUACCUUGUUAGAAAGCCACGGCUAACUACGUGCCAGCAGCCGCGGUAA